This 437-nucleotide ribosomal RNA is filed under the name uncultured bacterium. Its description in RNAcentral is "bacterial SSU rRNA". It matches the Rfam family "Bacterial small subunit ribosomal RNA", at positions 772 to 1205 of the family's 1533-position model. The record is from RNAcentral.
ACGGAAUAGAUUUACCCUGGUAGUCCACGCCCUAAACGAUGUCUACUAGUUGUUGGUGGAGUAAAAUCCAUGAGUAAACGCAGCUAAACGCGUGAAGUAGACCGCCUGGGGAGUACGGUCGCAAGAUUAAAACUCAAAUGAAUUGACGGGGGCCCGCACAAGCGGUGGAUUAUGUGGAUUAAUUCGAUGCAACGCGAAAACCUUACCUGGCCUUGACAUGUAACGAACUUUCCAGAGAUGGAUUGGUGCUCGAAAGAGAACGUUAACACAGGUGCUGCAUGGCUGUCGUCAGCUCGUGUCGUGAGAUGUUGGGUUAAGUCCCGCAACGAGCGCAACCCUUGCCAUUAAUUGCCAUCAUUUAGUUGGGCACUUUAAUGGGACUGCCGGUGACAACCGGAGGAACGGUGGGGAUGACGUCAAGUCCUCAUGGCCCUUAU